GAGUCCUCCAACCCCUGUGACAUACCACUUGUUGCCUCGGCGGAUCAGCCCGCUCCCGGUAAAACGGGACGGCCCGCCAGAGGACCCCUAAACUCUGUUUCUAUAUGUAACUUCUGAGUAAAACCAUAAAUAAAUCAAAACUUUCAACAACGGAUCUCUUGGUUCUGGCAUCGAUGAAGAACGCAGCAAAAUGCGAUAAGUAAUGUGAAUUGCAGAAUUCAGUGAAUCAUCGAAUCUUUGAACGCACAUUGCGCCCGCCAGUAUUCUGGCGGGCAUGCCUGUUCGAGCGUCAUUUCAACCCUCAAGCACAGCUUGGUGUUGGGACUCGCGUUAAUUCGCGUUCCCCAAAUUGAUUGGCGGUCACGUCGAGCUUCCAUAGCGUAGUAGUAAAACCCUCGUUACUGGUAAUCGUCGCGGCCACGCCGUUAAACCCCAACUUCUGAAUGUUGACCUCGGAUCAGGUAGGAAUACCCGCUGAACUUAAGCAUAUCAAUAAGCGGAGGAA
RNAcentral lists this ribosomal RNA (505 nucleotides) under Fusarium sp. Sa/1/2. RNAcentral describes it as "eukaryotic LSU rRNA". The stretch from base 139 to 292 matches the Rfam family "5.8S ribosomal RNA". The record is from RNAcentral. Lineage: Eukaryota; Fungi; Ascomycota; Sordariomycetes; Hypocreales; Nectriaceae.